GUGAGUCAUCGAAUCUUUGAACGCACAUUGCGCCCGCCAGUACUCUGGCGGGCAUGCCUGUUCGAGCGUCAUUUCAACCCUCAAGCUCUGCUUGGUGUUGGGGAUCGGCGUGGUACCCUCGGGUGCUGCCGUCCCCUAAAUCUAGUGGCGGUCCCGCUGUAGCCUCCUCUGCGUAGUAGUUUUCUCCUCGCAAUGGAAUCUCGGCGGUGCCUUGCCGUUAAACCCCCAACUUCUGAAAGGUUGACCUCGAAUCAGGUAGGAAUACCCGCUGAACUUAAGCAUAUCAAUAAGCGGAGGA
The sequence is an unclassified non-coding RNA, 298 nucleotides long. The stretch from base 1 to 71 matches the Rfam family "5.8S ribosomal RNA", at positions 84 to 154 of the family's 154-position model.